AGAACAUCACGCUUAAGUGGAGACAUUUUCCUUCUUUCGGCUGGUUGAGUGACAGGUGCUGCAUGGCUGUCGUCAGCUCGUGUCGUGAGAUGUUGGGUUAAGUCCCGCAACGAGCGCAACCCUCGCCGUUAGUUGCCAUCAUUUAGUUGGGCACUCUAGCGGAACCGCCGGUGAUAAGCCGGAAGAAGGUGGGGAUGACGUCAAGUCUUCAUGGCCCUUACGGGAUGGGCUACACACGUGCUACAAUGGUGGUGACAAUGGGAUAAUCCCUAAAAGCCAUCUCAGUUCGGAUUGGGGUCUGCAACUCGACCCCAUGAAGUUGGAAUCGCUAGUAAUCGCGUAACAGCAUGACGCGGUGAAUACGUUCCCGGGUCUUGUACACACCGACGG
RNAcentral lists this ribosomal RNA (390 nucleotides) under uncultured bacterium. RNAcentral's name for it is "bacterial SSU rRNA". It matches the Rfam family "Bacterial small subunit ribosomal RNA", at positions 981 to 1396 of the family's 1533-position model. The record is from RNAcentral.